CGCUGGCGGCAGGCCUAACACAUGCAAGUCGAGCGGUAACAGAAAAGAAGCUUGCUUCUUUUGCUGACGAGCGGCGGACGGGUGAGUAAUGCCUGGGAAUAUACCCUGAUGUGGGGGAUAACUAUUGGAAACGAUAGCUAAUACCGCAUAAUCUCUUCGGAGCAAAGAGGGGGACCUUCGGGCCUCUCGCGUCAGGAUUAGCCCAGGUGGGAUUAGCUAGUUGGUGGGGUAAUGGCUCACCAAGGCGACGAUCCCUAGCUGGUCUGAGAGGAUGAUCAGCCACACUGGAACUGAGACACGGUCCAGACUCCUACGGGAGGCAGCAGUGGGGAAUAUUGCACAAUGGGGGAAACCCUGAUGCAGCCAUGCCGCGUGUAUGAAGAAGGCCUUCGGGUUGUAAAGUACUUUCAGUUGUGAGGAAGGCGUUGGAGUUAAUAGCUUUAGCGUUUGACGUUAGCAACAGAAGAAGCACCGGCUAACUCCGUGCCAGCAGCCGCGGUAAU
This 503-nucleotide ribosomal RNA is filed under the name uncultured bacterium. Its description in RNAcentral is "bacterial SSU rRNA". It matches the Rfam family "Bacterial small subunit ribosomal RNA", at positions 34 to 524 of the family's 1533-position model. The record is from RNAcentral.